GCCCCUGUAGCUCAAUGGAUAGAGCACCGGACUUCUAAUCCGGCGGUUGUGCGUUCGAGUCGCGCCAGGGGCG
Molecule: transfer RNA, 73 nt
Filed under: Anaerolineales bacterium
Lineage: Bacteria; Bacillati; Chloroflexota; Anaerolineae; Anaerolineales
Also listed under: 1 other name
Description: tRNA-Arg
Rfam family: tRNA
About the family: Transfer RNA (tRNA) molecules are approximately 80 nucleotides in length. Their secondary structure includes four short double-helical elements and three loops (D, anti-codon, and T loops). Further hydrogen bonds mediate the characteristic L-shaped molecular structure. tRNAs have two regions of fundamental functional importance: the anti-codon, which is responsible for specific mRNA codon recognition, and the 3' end, to which the tRNAs corresponding amino acid is attached (by aminoacyl-tRNA synthetases). tRNAs cope with the degeneracy of the genetic code in two manners: having more than one tRNA (with a specific anti-codon) for a particular amino acid; and 'wobble' base-pairing, i.e. permitting non-standard base-pairing at the 3rd anti-codon position.
Source: RNAcentral